Molecule: long non-coding RNA, 6148 nt
Filed under: Chlamydomonas reinhardtii
Lineage: Eukaryota; Viridiplantae; Chlorophyta; Chlorophyceae; Chlamydomonadales; Chlamydomonadaceae
Description: long non-coding RNA (CREI_LNC000520)
Source: RNAcentral
CUGUUCAGCUUCGUACUUCCAUCUGCUCUUCGCUCUAUCCAAGGGUGGCCUUGCGAGACUCGGUCCCACCCCCUCGGUUUGGCACCAAGACACACAUACAGAGAAUGCCAUCAACUGCAUUUGCUCGCAAAUACUCGGCUUGCAGCAGGUGUCCCUUGGCGUGCAGCACAGCAGCAUGAGGCCUUGCUGGCCUCCCUGCUGUGUUCGGUAAUCUUAACGUCAGGAGUUAUAGACCGCUGGUGACACACUCGCUUCACUCUCAUGCAUCGCGCAGGCGUCUCCUGUUGUACACAGGUCAGUGCCUUCUUUUGCACACACCGUUAGCAAGCCUCAGCCUGCCUUAGCGGUGAGUGCCGUGCUCACACUACCUCACACUACUUCGCUUACCAAGCCAAAUCUAAGCUUGCCAGCCGUUCGCACUCUGCUACCUGCUGUGGUGAACCUUCCAAUGCAGCCACACACAAACACACACCGGCCUCUCCUCCAAAAUCCAGGAUGUCUAUCCCUAGCAAUAAUAGCACAUUUUCAUGAAACGCACACAUCACACACACAGCACAAGGGAUGAUGUCCCCGCAAGCGCUAUCUGGUCAUGGGUAUUGACAACUGGGUAUGUCAGAUACAGUCCCACAUUACCGUACUUAGAUUACCGCCAAACCUGAGCUUGCUUGCCCUUCGCGCUCUGCUAUCUGCUGUAACGAACUUACAAAUGCAGAUAGAUACACACAGGUCCGGCCACUGAUGUUAAGAUUCCCGCGUGGGCACAGGGGUCAUGUACUCGUGACACCAUAAUAACAAAUGCAGGACAAAAAUGAAAGCUCCUGAGGCCACAUAGCAAUCAGGACAAAGGCCCCUCCAUCAAAUCCAGGAUGUCAAGCCCUAGCAUCCUUAACAACAUUUCCAUCGCAUACACACAGCACAAGAAAUGAUGCAGGCGCUAUCUGGUCAUGGGUAGCCAGGUGGUAUACUGGCCAGUACUACGGCCGCGCGGCCUCUCCCAGCGCAUCAGCCAAGACAACCGUAACCCUCCUUCCUUGUGUUCUGAAGGCCGUCAAGCAGUCAGGCGUCAACACCCCGUUUCGGCGGUUUGGACCAUCUUCAUUUCGUUUCGGAGGCCAAACCGGACUGUUUCAGCGGCCCGGCCCGCAAUCAUGACGGUCAUCCUGGCCGUUUGGCCCAUGGCCUGGCCCCUACUGCGCAGCCUCCUGGUAGCCCCCGCCCCAGGAGGCUGCGCCCCAGGAGGCUGCGCAGUAGCGGCCAGGCCAUGGGCAUAAUCGGCCAGGAUGACCGUCAUGAUUGCGGGUGAAACAGUCGGUCCGGGCCUCCGAAACGCAACGAAGAGGGUCCACACCCCCAAAAGCACGGGGCCAACGCAGGCCGCCUGGGCCGCGUAUACCGUCAGGUGAGGGAUAGUCCUUGCUAAGCCUGCUUCUGAUGAGCAGAAGGCUCUGACGCCAAGCUGCGCGAAAUGCGAUUGAAGAGGGCGCGCCCCAGCCACACCAGGUCCGUGACGAGGUCUGCGCGCAUGCAGACUGCUCUUAUCAUGCCCUAUUAUCCCAUAUAUGCACGAGGACUCUGGCACUCACUUGGCUCCACGUUCAUCUCCUCGAUUUUAGCAUCGAGGGCCUUGAGGGCCGCGGCGUUGGCUGUGGCCUGGGCCGCGAGCUGCCCGGCGAACUGCUCGAUUUGGGCCGCGAACUGCCCGGCGAACUUCUCGACCUGGGCCGCGAACUGCUCUUCGAGCCGGUCCAUCCGCUGCUGCAAGUCCACCUGGUCCAUCUGCUGCUGCAUACUGUCCGACUGAGGUUGCGGCGGCUGGGCCAUUAUUACGGCGAGCCGAUGCAAGUUGGCGUUGGUAAGUAAAGGCUAUAGGUGAGCGAUGCGAUGCGAACUUGUAGGUGCAAUACCCCUGCUCCGACAUCGGCACGGCGCCGACCGAUGGGUGCCUCCCUCAUACCUGGCGGUGGACCGUCAAUCUGCGUGGCCUCUGGGCCACAUUCGUCGCCACAUUCCGGCCGCACCACCUUCAUCCGUCUUCAUCCGAACCUACUUACUUCACGGCGGUGUAUCUAGCCCCGCCCAAGGCUUGCAUCUUCCAGGGGUGGGCCACGAUCGCAGGCGUGUAAGGGCCCUAAUAUCGUUCUCGCCCAUGGCAUCCGGGGGCCCAAAAAUGCCUAGGUUUUAGCGGUUGGGGGGGCUCGCGGACAGUGCUCGUAUCUUCACAAGGCAUGCGGUGGGCGGUGUCGCGUACCUGGCGGUUGCAGUGGCGGUGGCGUUCCAGCUUCGCGGCUGGGGACGUUCCAUUGCGGCGCUGCUGUCGCGGGUAAGGACAGACAACGCUGUUGCACAUGCCUUCUCUUAUACUUCUCUCACCCUUUCACGCACAACGACGCGUGCCAUGCGUACUGCUGUCUCCCGCUGGCGCCGCGGCCCCUAGCGGGUUUGGGGCUGAGCCAGGCCGGGGCGUGCCCAUGCCAGGAGGAUGCUGGGAGCAUCAUGCAAGUGCUAGUUGACAAGUAGGUGCAAGAAAGCGUGUUGGAGCCCACGUCACACUUGCCUUGCCUUGCACUGCCCGCCCGCGCGUUUCGGCUGCAGGGCGGAAAGCACAAGGACAAGCACGCCCAUGCAAAGCCCGGUGAGCCGCCGCCCCUUUCGGGUGUGUGUGUGCGUGCACAUGGCGCUAAAGCUUGGAACGAUGGGGUAUUCCCAUCCCUUCGGUACCGAAAGAAGCACGUCAGACGGCAUACCGUAGUGUAAUACAGUAAGGCAUCCUCCAAAUCUUACCUGCUGCACAGGCGUCAACAAGGGCCGGCAGCUGAAGACCAAGGCGCGGUCCAACAGCAGAAAGGCCCCACGUCCCCGCUGCUCCUUGCCGCCCCGCCGCCGCGCAGCUGUGCCUGCGCAACGCACCCGAGUGCGGCUUCGUGCACGCGGACAGCAUCUGUGUGGCGGCGUGCUUUGGCUGCGCGCAGNNNNNNNNNNNNNNNNNNNNNNNNNNNNNNNNNNNNNNNNNNNNNNNNNNNNNNNNNNNNNNNNNNNNNNNNNNNNNNNNNNNNNNNNNNNNNNNNNNNNCGCUGCUGUCGCGGGUAAGGACAGACAACGCUGUUGCACAUGCCUUCUCUUAUACUUCUCUCACCCUUUCACGCACAACGACGCGUGCCAUGCGUACUGCUGUCUCCCGCUGGCGCCGCGGCCCCUAGCGGGUUUGGGGCUGAGCCAGGCCGGGGCGUGCCCAUGCCAGGAGGAUGCUGGGAGCAUCAUGCAAGUGCUAGUUGACAAGUAGGUGCAAGAAAGCGUGUUGGAGCCCACGUCACACUUGCCUUGCCUUGCACUGCCCGCCCGCGCGUUUCGGCUGCAGGGCGGAAAGCACAAGGACAAGCACGCCCAUGCAAAGCCCGGUGAGCCGCCGCCCCUUUCGGGUGUGUGUGUGCGUGCACAUGGCGCUAAAGCUUGGAACGAUGGGGUAUUCCCAUCCCUUCGGUACCGAAAGAAGCACGUCAGACGGCAUACCGUAGUGUAAUACAGUAAGGCAUCCUCCAAAUCUUACCUGCUGCACAGGCGUCAACAAGGGCCGGCAGCUGAAGACCAAGGCGCGGUCCAACAGCAGAAAGGCCCCACGUCCCCGCUGCUCCUUGCCGCCCCGCCGCCGCGCAGCUGUGCCUGCGCAACGCACCCGAGUGCGCCUUCGUGCACGCGGACAGCAUCUGUGUGGCGGCGUGCUUUGGCUGCGCGCAGCAGCUGGCAGCCCCGGCCGGCGGUGCAGCGGCGGCAGCGCCCCUGUGCUGCCCCUUCUGCUCCAAGGCCAUCGUGAGCGUCCUGGCGGUCCACACGGCGGAGCAGUAGCAGGUGCAGUAGCAGUAGCAGGUGCGAUAAUUGAGGUGUGGGUACUACCGCCGAAGGGAGGCCAGCAGCAGCUGAGACAGCGUGCGAUGAUGCAGCCUCGCAGCGUCGAGAGGUUGGCUUACCCAAAGGCUGGUUGGGAACGCGGAGUGUGGAUCAUGAGCAGGCCCGAGACACUGAAUGAUUGGGAUGCUAGACGGGCGAAACGCUCGCAUGUUCGGCCAUCAUGGCCUUGCCAACUGGAUUGCAUGACGGGCAAGCUUUAUCCAGAAACUAAUGUAUGUCAUGGGGUAGAGUGAUAGGUUGCAUCAUCCUGCAUGAAACGGACGCUGCGCGGUGACCACACAGAAUCUAUUCUUUUGUUCUGAGUCAGGCUGUGUUACAAUGGACAUGACCGAGGGCAAAAGGCGGAGGAGUGAGGGGUGUGUCGAGUCCACUCUGCGAGAGCGUGCAUCCAGCAGCCAGCAGCGAUUGUUGCGGAGUCCUGUGUGCGCAUGGGGUCCGAUCGGGGCAUGCUGCAGUGCACACGGUCGUGAGGCGUUGGUCACUUGGCAGCAGCUGGCAGCCCCGGCUGGCGGUGCAGCGGCGGCGGCCCCCCUGUGCUGCCCCUUCUGCUCCAAGGCCAUCAUUAGCGUCCUGGCAGUCCACGCAGUGGCGCAGUAGUGGCGCAGUAGCAGUAGCAGGUGCGACAAUUGAGGUGUGGGGACUACCGCCGAAGGGAGGCCAGCAGCAGCUGAGACAGCGUGCGAUGAUGCAGCCUCGCAGCGUCGAGAGGUUGGCUUACCCGAAGGCUGGUUGGGAACGCGGAGUGUGGAUCAUGAGCAGGCCCGAGACCAGGGGAGACACUGAUUGACUGGGAUGCUAGGCGGGCGAAACGCUCGCAUGUUCGGCCGUCAUGGCCUUGCCAACUGGAUUGCAUGACUUGGCAAGCUUUAUUCAGAAACUCAUUGACGUCACGGGGUAGAGUGAUAGGUUGCAUCAUCCUGCAUGAAACGGACGCUGCGCGGUGACCACACAGAGUCUGUACUUUAUUCUGAGUCGGGCUGUGUUACAAUGGACAUGAGGGCAAAUGUUCCGGAGUCCUGUGUGCGCAUGGGGUCCGAUCGGGGCAUGCUGCAGUGCACACGGUCGUGAGGCGUGGCCACUUGGCCGCGAUUGCGGCGCUGGGUGACGGCUGCGUAGGGUUGGCCGUGGCUGGGCGAUCGGUGUGGUAUCAGGGACUUGGCCUAAGCAAUGCACCGACAGGCGCGGGCAUGUACGGGUGUGCGUGGGCUGAGUCAAUCUUAUAGGUGGGGCAGGGUGCACCUCGUUCGGUGCCGUACGGGGUCUGAAGUGAGACGGCGGUAGCGGGCGGCCACGAAGUGGCGUGGCGCACUGGGGGUCCGUACUCCGCAGUGACCAUGAGUAGGUGGAACACGGGGCCCACGGAGGGGCGGCAGGGGCCCCCACGCGCUUCGAAACCUUGCCCUUGCCUGUGAGUUUCGUACUGCGUACCGUACAGCAUUACGGUGGUAAGAUACGGUGCCGGUAUUGUGGACCUCUGCAACCCCUGAAACUGACGUGCCAGCUACGUCCGGUAAAGCUGCGCAACUGGAUGAGCGGAAGAUAAGGUCCGGGUCCGGCGUGUCAAACCCCUCCACCCCUUCCUUGGCCAGUGCCAGAUGCCAUGUUAUAGCCGUGUCCUGCACCUGCCCCUGCCCAAACCUGCACCUGCACCCGCCCCUGCCCAAACCUGCACCUGAACCCGCCGAACCCUGCACCCGCCCAAACCUGCACAAAGAGCUUUUCACAUACAGAUUGCAUUGGUUACAAGAGGGACCUGCUGACGCAGUUCACGAGCCAGUGACGUGGAGAACGAUCACCCUGCCCUGAACCCCAGGGGCGUGCCGCCUGCAACGCCGCCGGCCUACUCUAGCUCUAGUAGGCUUGCUCCCAUAGGACGCUCCUCCCGCCAUAUCGAACAUGUUACUAGGUGCCAUCACUCCACCUCCUCUUCCAUUAUGAGACUUCGUGGUCUGUUCAGCUUCAUACUUCCAUCUGCUCUUCGCUCUAUCCAAGGGUGGCCUUGCGAGACUCGGUCCCACCCCCUCGGUUUGGCACCAAGACACACAUACAGAGAAUGCCAUCAACUGCAUUUGCUCGCAAAUACUCGGCUUGCAGCAGGUGUCCCUUGGCGUGCAGCACAGCAGCAUGAGGCCUUGCUGGCCUCCCUGCUGUGUUCGGUAAUCUUAACGUCAUGAGUGAUGGACCGCUGGUGACACACUCCAUUCACUCUCAUGCAUCGGGCAGGCGUCUCCUGCUGUACACAGCU